UAGGGAAUCUUCGGCAAUGGACGAAAAGUCUGACCGAGCAACGCCGCGUGAGUGAAGAAGGUUUUCGGAUCGUAAAACUCUGUUGGUAGAGAAGAACGUUGGUGAGAGUGGAAAGCUCAUCAAGUGACGGUAACUACCCAGAAAGGGACGGCUAACUACGUGCCAC
Molecule: ribosomal RNA, 166 nt
Filed under: uncultured bacterium
Lineage: Bacteria
Description: partial 16S rRNA
Rfam family: Bacterial small subunit ribosomal RNA
Source: RNAcentral